AGCUGAGAGCCUCUGUUGACAGAUGGAUGCCUUCUUAAUCACAGCCUGUGUGGGUAAAGGGAAAGCCUUGCCUGGCCAACCCCUCCCACUCCCACCCCCACCUCCUGCAUUGAUUCACAAACCUGGACUGCUCUGGAGGAGGCUGGGAAAGUCCAUCCCCAGGGAAUACCACUUUUUUCCUCUUCUGUGCCUCUCACAGGACACCCACAUGACUAGGAGGAGGCAGAAAGUGAAUAGGGAGCUCUUAUUACUUUUUGAGUGUCAGCAAGUUAAGACAUCAUCUCCAGAAAACUGUGCUAGUUGGCAUCCAGCAGUGCCCAAGUAUUAUUUAACCCACUAGAACCUGUGACUGCAUCAGCUUUAUAUCCUGGACCUCAGCCUGGAACAAAGGAGAGCUACACUUGGAUACUAAACACAAGUGGUCUGGAUAGAUUAUGCUGGGAAAAGAAGCCUGGAGCAGGCAGUACAGUGGGAGAACAAGAUGGAGUUUUGCUCUUGUCGCCCAGUCUGGAGUGCAAUGGCAUGAUCUUGGUUCACCGCAAUCUCUGCCCCCAGGUUCAAGGGAUUCUCCUGCCUCAGCCACCUGAGUAGUUGGGAUUACAGGCAUGUGCCACCAUGCCUGGGUAAUUUUGUAUUUUUAGGUGAGAUGGGGUUUCUCCAUGUUGGUCAGGCUGGUCUCAAACUCCUGACCUCAGGUGAUCCACCCGCCUCGGCCUCCCAAAGUGCUGGGAUUACAGGCAAGCCACUGCACCCAGCCAUAAUGAUCUUCUUUUUAAAGUACUAUAUAAGCAUCUUAGUACUUAACAUCUUUAUUGUCUAUAUCAAACUCUAAAACCAAGCUCCAUGAAGGCAAGGAUUUGUCUUCAAAUCUUUUGCUCUCUGUUACUUCCCCCAGCAUCUAAGUACUGCUUAGCACUUACAGCUUUUCAAGAAAUAAUUGCUGAGUAAAUAAAAGAACUAAUGAGUUUUGCUUUCUAAAUUUUUUAUUCUUGAUUGAAUAUUAUUAAAUGAUUUGAGACUGACA
Molecule: long non-coding RNA, 1024 nt
Organism: Homo sapiens (human)
Lineage: Eukaryota; Metazoa; Chordata; Mammalia; Primates; Hominidae
Product: long intergenic non-protein coding RNA 1013
Source: Ensembl